This 442-nucleotide ribosomal RNA is filed under the name uncultured bacterium. Its description in RNAcentral is "partial 16S ribosomal RNA". It matches the Rfam family "Bacterial small subunit ribosomal RNA", at positions 338 to 795 of the family's 1533-position model. The record is from RNAcentral.
CCUACGGGGGGCUGCAGUGGGGAAUAUUGGGCAAUGGGCGCAAGCCUGACCCAGCAACGCCGCGUGAAGGAAGAAGGCUUUCGGGUUGUAAACUUCUUUUCUGGGGGACGAACAAAUGACGGUACCCCAGGAAUAAGCCACGGCUAACUACGUGCCAGCAGCCGCGGUAAUACGUAGGUGGCAAGCGUUAUCCGGAUUUAUUGGGGUUAAAGGGCGUGUAGGCGGGAAUGCAAGUCAGAUGUGAAAACUCAGGGCUACACCCUGAGCCUGCAGUUGAAACUGUGUUUCUUGAGUGCUGGAGAGGCAAUCGGAAUUCCGGGUGUAGCGGUGAAAUGCGUAGAUAUAAGGAGGAACACCAGUGGCGAAGGCGACUAUCUGGCACAUAACUGACGCUGAGGAGCGAAAGCGUGGGUAGCAAACAGGAUUAGAUACCCCUGUAGUC